GUAGGGAAUAUUGGUAAUCUGCGAAAGCGGGAACCAGCAACGCCGCGUGCGCGAAGAAGGCCUUCGGGUUGUAAAGCGCUUUUCGGGAGGAAGAGGAAGGACUGUACUCCCGGAAUAAGUCUCGGCUAACUACGUGCCAGCAGCCGCGGUAAUACGUAGGAGGCUAACGUUAUCCGGAUUUACUGGGCGUAAAGCGCGUGCAGGCGGUUCGUUAAGUUGGACGUGAAAGCUCCCGGCUCAACUGGGAGAGGUCGUUCAAUACUGGCGGACUUGAGGAUGGUAGAGGGAGGUGGAAUUCCGGGUGUAGUGGUGAAAUGCGCAGAUAUCCGGAGGAACACCAGUGGCGAAAGCGGCCUCCUGGACCAUUCCUGACGCUCAGACGCGAAAGCUAGGGUAGCAAACGGGAUUAGAAACCCUAGUAGUCC
This 425-nucleotide ribosomal RNA is filed under the name uncultured bacterium. RNAcentral describes it as "bacterial SSU rRNA". It matches the Rfam family "Bacterial small subunit ribosomal RNA", at positions 354 to 796 of the family's 1533-position model. The record is from RNAcentral.